AAGAAAGUGAGGAAAGUCCGAGCAUCAAAGAGCAGUCUGCUUGCUAACGGCAAGCCGGGGAAACCCGAGGAAGAGUGCAACAGAAAUAAACCGCCAUAAAAAUUUUUUUAUGGUAAGGAUGGAAACGCAGGGUAAGAGCCUACGAACCAAUUUGGUGACAAGUUGGUGCUGUAAACUCCAGAUGAUGCAAGACUAAGGGCACAUUGCCACCCCCAUUAGAGCAGUUAAUACUGUUCUGGCAAUAAGGAUUGCUCGUCCGCCCUUUUUGUUCGCAACAGACCUUGUUGGCAACAGCAAGGCAAGAUAGAUGACAGUUUUAAACAGAACUCGGCUUAUAGGCUAACUA
This 346-nucleotide RNase P RNA is filed under the name human gut metagenome. RNAcentral describes it as "Bacterial RNase P class A". It matches the Rfam family "Bacterial RNase P class A", at positions 35 to 361 of the family's 367-position model. Rfam says of the family: Ribonuclease P (RNase P) is a ubiquitous endoribonuclease, found in archaea, bacteria and eukarya as well as chloroplasts and mitochondria. Its best characterised activity is the generation of mature 5'-ends of tRNAs by cleaving the 5'-leader elements of precursor-tRNAs. The record is from RNAcentral.